AACGAACGCUGGCGGCGCGUCUUAAACAUGCAAGUCGAACGGCAGGCCACUAUGCCGUUACCGGCACGCUGGUCAGUUACACGAGGGGAACGUACCCCGACGUCCGCGACAGCUUGUUGGAGUAGAGCGUAAUACAGGUUAGAUUACUGCUUACGUCAGGUUGCCGGCGGAAACAGAGCUUCUGCUCCGCGACCGGAUCGGUCUGCGUCGAAUCAGCUUGACGGCGGGGUAAAGGCCCGCCCCGGCGAGGGCGGGUAUCCGGACUGAGAGGGUGGGCAGACACACUGGAACUGAGACACGGCCCAGACUCCUACGGGAGGCAGCAGUGAAGAAUAUUCGGCAAUGGGGGGAACCCUGACCGAGCGACGCCGCGUGGACGAAGAGGGCCGUAAGGUUGUAAAGUUCUUUUCUGGGGGAAGAAAAAGUGCCGGAUGAAAUGCCGCGGCUGUGACGGUAGCGCAGGAAUAAGCACCGGCUAAUUACGUG
This 486-nucleotide ribosomal RNA is filed under the name uncultured bacterium. Its description in RNAcentral is "partial 16S ribosomal RNA". It matches the Rfam family "Bacterial small subunit ribosomal RNA", at positions 29 to 507 of the family's 1533-position model. The record is from RNAcentral.